Spinacia oleracea (spinach) is the source of this 419-nucleotide long non-coding RNA. RefSeq lists it as uncharacterized. The record is from RefSeq and is a predicted model, not a curated record. The transcript has 4 exons. Lineage: Eukaryota; Viridiplantae; Streptophyta; Magnoliopsida; Caryophyllales; Amaranthaceae.
GUUGGACCGUGUAUUCGGAAUAACAGGCGGCACAGCAAACAAAUGAGGAGGCUUUGUGGCCUGCUGCAUCUGUUGUGGCUGCUGACUAGGGGACGAGGAGGCUCUGUGGCCUGCUGCAUCUGUUGUGGUUGCUGACUAUAGGGGACGCUAUGUCUACCUUGGCGCGUUUGUUCUUACGGAAUCCUCCACCUAGAAUAUUCGAAAAUAUUCAAUGGAUAGAUACUUGUUGGCUGAAGCAGGUGACACUUUAUUUGCUUCCGUCGUCGGGACAAAGCAGUACAAGGAUCUGGUGGCCAAUGCUAAUAUAUUUCAAGGAGCUUUAUUUGAUGACGAUGACAUGGAGAUUAUGGAAGAAACAGAGAUUGUUGAGUCAGAUAUAGCCGAUGGACGAAAUGGAUAUUUAGAUUCUCAUGCUAAGA